UAAUUACGUACAAAUCUAAAUCUGAUAUUUGAUAGUAUAUAUUUGAAUUUAACUAUUAUAGUUGAAACUGCACGAGUGGGCCCAACUCAAUAAUUACAUAGAAAAAUUUUAAACAAAAAAUAAUUUUACCUCCCUAAUCAAUUUUAUAUUGAAGAUAAUCUCACCGGUACAAACAUAAAUUAAUAAAAUAUUAAAAAUGCACUUCUCAACAUAUAUAACCAGAUUAAAUUAUUUAUAAUUACAACACUUUUUACUAUAUCCAACCAAAUAUAGUAUAUAUAUUGUUUUAAUUGUUGUAUUUUCAAUUGCAUACAACAGGCCCUUU
RNAcentral lists this long non-coding RNA (325 nucleotides) under Ananas comosus (pineapple). Its description in RNAcentral is "long non-coding RNA (ACOM_LNC014052)". The record is from RNAcentral. Lineage: Eukaryota; Viridiplantae; Streptophyta; Magnoliopsida; Poales; Bromeliaceae.